Molecule: ribosomal RNA, 505 nt
Filed under: uncultured bacterium
Lineage: Bacteria
Description: partial 16S ribosomal RNA
Rfam family: Bacterial small subunit ribosomal RNA
Source: RNAcentral
GACGAACGCUGGCGGCGUGCCUAAUACAUGCCAGUAGAACGCACAGUUUAUACCGUAGCUUGCUACACCAUAAACUGUGAGUUGCGAACGGGUGAGUAACGCGUAGGUAACCUGCCUGGUAGCGGGGGAUAGCUAUUGGAAACGAUAGCUAAUACCGCAUAAUAUUAAUUAUUGCAUGAUAAUUGAUUGAAAGAUGCAAUUGCAUCACUACCAGAUGGACCUGCGUUGUAUUAGCUAGUAGGUGAGGUAACGGCUCACCUAGGCGACGAUACAUAGCCGACCUGAGAGGGUGAUCGGCCACACUGGGACUGAGACACGGCCCAGACUCCUACGGGAGGCAGCAGUAGGGAAUCUUCGGCAAUGGACGAAAGUCUGACCGAGCAACGCCGCGUGAGUGAAGAAGGUUUUCGGAUCGUAAAGCUCUGUUGUAAGAGAAGAACGGGCGUGAGAGUGGAAAGUUCACACUGUGACGGUAUCUUACCAGAAAGGGACGGCUAACUACGUG